UGUUCCUACGGGGGGCAUCAGUAGGGAAUCUUUCACAAUGGGCGAAAGCCUGAUGGAGCAACGCCGCGUGCAGGAUGAAGGCCUUCGGGUUGUAAACUGCUUUUAUAAGCGAGAAAUAUGAUGGUAACUUAUGAAUAAGGAACGGCUAACUACGUGCCAGCAGCCGCGGUAAUACGUAGGUGGCAAGCGUUAUCCGGAUUUAUUGGGCGUAAAGGGAACGCAGGCGGUCUUUUAAGUCUGAUGUGAA
Molecule: ribosomal RNA, 247 nt
Filed under: uncultured bacterium
Lineage: Bacteria
Description: partial 16S ribosomal RNA
Rfam family: Bacterial small subunit ribosomal RNA
Source: RNAcentral